AUACUCAUGGAUUAAUUGGUGCUGGCUGGGCCUGCCAGCCUAGUCGUGGCCCCAGGGUCCCCACUAAAGGGCUCCUUCUCCAGCGCCCACUCUGUUGGCAAGGUCUUCACUACCAUCACCUGCCUGGACUCCAUCCAAGCAUCAGGGUUGCUGCAGUCGCUCCUGAAGAGACCCGGCUCUGCUUGAAAGUUCUUCCCUCAGCGCCUGCUGGAGCCCUCCCUGCCGGAGUUGCCAGAAUCCACACGGCUCCACAGUCAAAGACUAGCGAUGGAAGAGAUCAGAAUUCAGCUUCCCCAGGGACAGCAAGGCCAAGAAGGUGUCCAGAUCCUGGCCUCUCUCCAGAUCUUGGACUCUCUCAAGGCCAAGACUCUCUCUCUUAAGAUCUCUAUCUCAAGGCCAAGAUCUCUCUCCAGAUAUUGGCCUCUCUCAAGGUACUUCCAAGAUCUCAGAGGGCCAUUCACUGUGGAUCUAAUAUGAAGACAGAGAAACCAGCCUUCCAGAGGAGCGGACACAUUUCCUUAGUCCCAGGAUACACUUUGUGUGGAAUCCACAGAUCUGCCCUGAUGAUCAUGAAGGAAUGCGAAAGAGCCUGGUAAAACGAUAUGGACUUGUGCAAAUGCAAAGCAAUGGUGAAGUCAUCACGAACCGCACAGACUGGACAGAACUCCUAUCUGGCUGCAAUGGCUUGGGUUCAGUCAGCCCAGGGGCCAGAGAAUUGGCUACAAAGAGCUCUGGAGUGCCCCUCCCUCCAAAUAAAGUAUUCUAAGCGUGCACUG
RNAcentral lists this long non-coding RNA (776 nucleotides) under Homo sapiens (human). Its description in RNAcentral is "HSALNT0297454". The record is from RNAcentral. Lineage: Eukaryota; Metazoa; Chordata; Mammalia; Primates; Hominidae.